Molecule: ribosomal RNA, 774 nt
Filed under: uncultured Neocallimastigales
Lineage: Eukaryota; Fungi; Neocallimastigomycota; Neocallimastigomycetes; Neocallimastigales
Description: partial large subunit ribosomal RNA
Rfam family: Eukaryotic large subunit ribosomal RNA
Source: RNAcentral
UCAGACGAUGCGUCAUGCAUAUCAAUAAGCGGAGGAAAAGAAACUAACAAGGAUUCCCCUAGUAACGGCGAGUGAAGCGGGAAGAGCUCAAAUUUGAAAUCUUAAAGGGUUUCCCUUUACGAAUUGUAGUUUAAAGAAGUGUUUUCUGUUGAGGUUUUGGUAAAAGUUCUUUGGAAUAGGACAUCAUAGAGGGUGAGAAUCCCGUAUUUGACCUUUACUUUCAACUUUGUGAUACACUUUCAAAGAGUCGGAUUGUUUGGGAAUGCAGUCCAAAAUGGGUGGUAAAUUUCAUCUAAAGCUAAAUAUUGGCGAGAGACCGAUAGCGAACAAGUACCGUGAGGGAAAGAUGAAAAGAACUUUGAAAAGAGAGUUAAACAGUACGUGAAAUUGUCAAAAGGGAAGCGUUUGACACCAGUGUUGUUUUUCUGAAAAUCAAUUAAAGAACUGUUUAUGCUAAGCUGUUUAGACUUUAUCAGCUAACUGUUUAGUUUUGGGCUUUUCUUUAAUGCACUUUUCAGUUAACAAGUCAACAUCAAUUUCUUUUGCUGUAAAAAAGCUUGAGGAAGGUGGCUUGAGAUUCGUCUUAAGUGUUUAUAGCCUCUUGCCUAUGCAGUCGGAGAGAUUGAGGUCUGCAGCGUAGAUCCUUCGGGGCUAAAUGCAUUUGUGCUAAGUUAUAGCAUUUUAUAGACAACUUGUUGACUAUGAUUUGUCUUGUAGCUUACUCGCUUAUGUUAUUUUACCUACGCUUAGGAUGUUGAAUCUGUGCGAGACUAC